Molecule: non-coding RNA, 93 nt
Organism: Chelonoidis abingdonii (Abingdon island giant tortoise)
Lineage: Eukaryota; Metazoa; Chordata; Testudines; Testudinidae
Source: RefSeq, a predicted model, not a curated record
AUAAGCCAUAAAUCCAGUCUCUUUCUUAAGACCAUGAUUUUUAGCGUCUAGCAAAGUUACGAAUUUAAGCUCCUAGUCUUGUCUUUUGAAGGU